Molecule: ribosomal RNA, 428 nt
Filed under: uncultured beta proteobacterium
Lineage: Bacteria; Pseudomonadati; Pseudomonadota; Betaproteobacteria
Description: bacterial SSU rRNA
Rfam family: Bacterial small subunit ribosomal RNA
Source: RNAcentral
UGGGGAAUUUUGGACAAUGGGGGCAACCCUGAUCCAGCAAUGCCGCGUGCAGGACGAAGGCCUUCGGGUUGUAAACUGCUUUUGUACGGGGAGAAAAGUUCUGGGUUAAUACCCUGGGAUGAUGACGGUACCGUAAGAAUAAGCACCGGCUAACUACGUGCCAGCAGCCGCGGUAAUACGUAGGGUGCGAGCGUUAAUCGGAAUUACUGGGCGUAAAGCGUGCGCAGGCGGUUUUGUAAGACAGGGUGUGAAAUCCCCGGGCUUAACCUGGGAACGGCAUUUGUGACUGCAAGGCUAGAGUGCGGCAGAGGGAGAUGGAAUCCCGCGUGUAGCAGUGAAAUGCUUAGAUAUUACACAGAACACCGAUUGCGAAGGCAGCUCUCUAAGCUACAUCUGACGCUGAGGCACGAAAGCGUGGGGAUCAAACA